CAUUUUUGUUUCAUUUUAGGGUUCGUUUGGGAGGCUGAAAUCCCGAGAGAUUCCGGCCUUUUCUAACGCUGAAAAUUCACUCCGUGUCAGAUGAACGUAGCCUUUGUUUGGCCCAUUUCACGGGAUUUUGCGGCUUGAUCCGUGUGGUUUCCACGGGAAAGAUAUCCACGCCAGUCCAGGUUGGGCUCGAUUCCCCAUCCCAGUCAUGACGCUUCUGCAAUACUCGCGAGCUGCCGUCUCCAUUGCCGCGCCUCCACCUACUCGACGCUCGCAUCUCCUCCUCCAUUGCUGUGCCUCCACCUCCACCAGCACCUCCGCUCAGGCACUACCCAUCGGCGACGAUAGACAAGGAGAUGAGGAGGAUGAUUUGAAGAAGCGAAGAGACAGCUACAUCAAUGGUGGAGACCGUAGGUCACGCUGGGAGAGGUGCUGCGACUGAAUCCGGGGUGUAUUCAAUCGUUGGCGGCCACGACUAGGCUAGGCUCAGAGCUUCUUCGUUCUCUCUCUCACCGAAGGUUCUGCUGGUGAGGGUGAGGUGGUGUUUGGCUACUUCGUGACUGCCGAUGCAAGUGGUGGGGAAGGGUAGUACAUCCUACUCUGGUGAUCCGUAGUUUUUGGGGUGGAGCCUAAGGGCAAAUGACUCCACUCUCCUUUUGUUGUUGUUAAGGUUUUAUCUUCCGCUGCGUAGUUUCUCUUUGUGUAAACUGUUGCAAAUGGUUGCAUGCUAAAGAACUUGUAAUAUAACUUUAAUUACUCGCUCUUUCUUAUGCUAUGUUGUGAUGUAUAUGUUGGAA
This is a long non-coding RNA of Phragmites australis (common reed), 794 nucleotides long. RefSeq lists it as uncharacterized. The transcript has 3 exons. The record is from RefSeq and is a predicted model, not a curated record. Lineage: Eukaryota; Viridiplantae; Streptophyta; Magnoliopsida; Poales; Poaceae.